GGGUUGUGAGGUUAAGCGACUAAGCGUACACGGUGGAUGCCCUGGCAGUCAGAGGCGAUGAAGGACGUGCUAAUCUGCGAUAAGCGUCGGUAAGGUGAUAUGAACCGUUAUAACCGGCGAUUUCCGAAUGGGGAAACCCAGUGUGUUUCGACACACUAUCAUUAACUGAAUCCAUAGGUUAAUGAGGCGAACCGGGGGAACUGAAACAUCUAAGUACCCCGAGGAAAAGAAAUCAACCGAGAUUCCCCCAGUAGCGGCGAGCGAACGGGGAGCAGCCCAGAGCCUGAAUCAGUAUGUGUGUUAGUGGAAGCGUCUGGAAAGGCGCGCGAUACAGGGUGACAGCCCCGUACACAAAAAUGCACAUAUUGUGAGCUCGAUGAGUAGGGCGGGACACGUGGUAUCCUGUCUGAAUAUGGGGGGACCAUCCUCCAAGGCUAAAUACUCCUGACUGACCGAUAGUGAACCAGUACCGUGAGGGAAAGGCGAAAAGAACCCCGGCGAGGGGAGUGAAAAAGAACCUGAAACCGUGUACGUACAAGCAGUGGGAGCACGCUUAGGCGUGUGACUGCGUACCUUUUGUAUAAUGGGUCAGCGACUUAUAUUCUGUAGCAAGGUUAACCGAAUAGGGGAGCCGAAGGGAAACCGAGUCUUAACUGGGCGUUAAGUUGCAGGGUAUAGACCCGAAACCCGGUGAUCUAGCCAUGGGCAGGUUGAAGGUUGGGUAACACUAACUGGAGGACCGAACCGACUAAUGUUGAAAAAUUAGCGGAUGACUUGUGGCUGGGGGUGAAAGGCCAAUCAAACCGGGAGAUAGCUGGUUCUCCCCGAAAGCUAUUUAGGUAGCGCCUCGUGAAUUCAUCUCCGGGGGUAGAGCACUGUUUCGGCAAGGGGGUCAUCCCGACUUACCAACCCGAUGCAAACUGCGAAUACCGGAGAAUGUUAUCACGGGAGACACACGGCGGGUGCUAACGUCCGUCGUGAAGAGGGAAACAACCCAGACCGCCAGCUAAGGUCCCAAAGUCAUGGUUAAGUGGGAAACGAUGUGGGAAGGCCCAGACAGCCAGGAUGUUGGCUUAGAAGCAGCCAUCAUUUAAAGAAAGCGUAAUAGCUCACUGGUCGAGUCGGCCUGCGCGGAAGAUGUAACGGGGCUAAACCAUGCACCGAAGCUGCGGCAGCGACGCUGAUGCGUUGUUGGGUAGGGGAGCGUUCUGUAAGCCUGCGAAGGUGUGCUGUGAGGCAUGCUGGAGGUAUCAGAAGUGCGAAUGCUGACAUAAGUAACGAUAAAGCGGGUGAAAAGCCCGC
This 1302-nucleotide ribosomal RNA is filed under the name Escherichia coli. RNAcentral's name for it is "partial 23S ribosomal RNA". It matches the Rfam family "Bacterial large subunit ribosomal RNA", at positions 1 to 1333 of the family's 2925-position model. Lineage: Bacteria; Pseudomonadati; Pseudomonadota; Gammaproteobacteria; Enterobacterales; Enterobacteriaceae. The record is from RNAcentral.